GGGUCAGUAGGUUGGUCGUGCCACCGGUACGUACUGGUCUAACUGAUUCCUCCUUCCUGAGGAACCGCAAUGCCAUUAAUUUGGUGUUGCGGGGAAACAGGACUGUUACUUUGAAAAAAUUAGAGUGUUUAAAGCAAGCUAACGCUUGAAUACAUUAGCAUGGAAUAAUGAAAUAGGACGAUCGAUCCUAUUUUGUUGGUUUCUAGGAUUGACGUA
Molecule: ribosomal RNA, 216 nt
Filed under: Glomeromycotina sp.
Lineage: Eukaryota; Fungi; Glomeromycota
Description: partial small subunit ribosomal RNA
Rfam family: Eukaryotic small subunit ribosomal RNA (bases 75-216)
Source: RNAcentral